GUGACAAGCUACUAAGUGCGAUCGGUGGAUGCCUAGGCACCAAGAGCCGAUGAAGGACGUUGUAACCUGCGAUAAGCCCUGGGGAGCUGGUAAACGAGCUUUGAUCCGGGGAUGUCCGAAUGGGGAAACCUCGAAGGUGACCAGUUUAGCUACUGGCGACCGCCGCCUGAAUGUAUAGGGCGGUUGGAGGGAACGUGGGGAAGUGAAACAUCUUAGUACCCACAGGAAGAGRAAACAACCGUGAWUCCGUGAAUAUUGGCGAGCGAAAGCGGAAGAGGCCAAACCGGAGUGUGUGAUAGCCGGCAGGUGUUGCAUGUGCGGGGUUGUGGGAAGCGUUUUGACUGAACUGCCGUGAGGUCGGAGAGUGAUAAAGGAUUGAUGAAGCAGAAGCGUCUGGGAAGGCGCGGCAUAGAUGGUGAUACCCCUGUAUGCGUAAGUUGAUCUCUCUCUUAAUGUUUUCCCAAGUAGUACGGAACCCCUGAAAUYCCGUACGAAUCUGGCGGACCACCCGUUAAGCCUAAAUACBCCUUGGUGACCGAUMGCGGACAAGUACCCGUGAGGGAAAGGGUGAAAAUGUACCCCCGGGAGGGGAGUGAAAUAGUMCCUGAAACCGAUCGCAUACAAUCCGUCGGAGCCUGCCCUUGUGGUGGGUGACGGCGUGCCUUUUGRAAGAAUGAGCCUGCGAGUUAGUGGUGUGUGGCGAGGUUAACCCGUGUGGGGAAGCCGUAGCGAAAGCGAGUCCGAAUAGGGCGUUUGAGUCGCAUGCUCUAGACCCGAAGCGGUGUGAUCUAUCCAUGGCCAGGGUGAAGCGACGGUAAGACGUCGUGGAGGCCCGAACCCACCAGGGUUGCAAACCUGGGGGAUGAGCUGUGGAUAGGGGUGAAAGGCCAAUCAAACACCGUGAUAGCUGGUUCUCCCCGAAAUGCAUUUAGGUGCAGCGUCAUGUGUUUCUUGUCGGAGGUAGAGCACUGGAUGGUCUAGGGGGCUUACCAGCUUACCGAAAUCAGCCAAACUCCGAAUGCCGACAAGUGAGAGCAUGGCAGUGAGACGGCGGGGGAUAAGCUUCGUCGUCGAGAGGGAAACAGCCCAGAUCAUCAGCUAAGGCCCCUAAGUGGUGACUAAGUGGAAAAGGACGUGGAGUUGCGGAGACAACCAGGAGGUUGGCUUGGAAGCAGCCAUCCUUGAAAGAGUGCGUAAUAGCUCACUGGUCAAGUGAUUCUGCACCGACAAUUUAGCGGGGCUCAAGUCAUCCGCCGAAGCUGUGGCAUCUACGCGUGUAUCCGGCAUCCUUUGGGGUGUCCAGGUGCGUGGAUGGGUAGGGGAGCGUUGUGUGUGCGUUGAAGCGGCGGGGUGACCCGGUCGUGGAGUGCACGCAAGUGAGAAUGCAGGCAUGAGUAGCGUAUGACGGGUGAGAAACCCGUCCGCCGAAUAUCCAAGGGUUCCAGGGUCAAGCUAAUCUGCCCUGGGUGAGUCGGGUCCUAAGGCGAGGCCGACAGGCGUAGUCGAUGGACAACGGGUUGAUAUUCCCGUACCGGCGCGAGAACGAUCCUGCCGAGGUGAGUGAUGCUAAGCAUGCAAGGCGGUCGUGGGGGCUUCGGUUCCCUGAUCGUUGAGUCUGUAACCCGAUCUUGUAGUAGGCAAGCUGCGGAGGGACGCAGGAAGGUAGUCUGGCACCGUAUUGGUUUGCGGUGUUAAGCCUGUAGGGUGUCUGGCCAGGUAAAUCCGGUCGGACGUGUGCCUGAGAGGUGAUGAGUGGUGCCACUUUUGUGGUACGUAUCCGGAUGAUCCUAUGCUGCCUAGAAAAUCUUCGUGAGCGAGUUCUCGAGCUGCCCGUACCCCAAACCGACACUGGUGGAUAGGUAGAGAAUACCAAGGCGAUCGAGAUAAUCAUGGUGAAGGAACUCGGCAAAAUCCUCCCGUAACUUCGGAAUAAGGGAGACUGGAGGCGUGACGGCAGUUUACUUGUCGGUGCGUCGAUAGUCGCAGAGAAUAGGCCCAAGCGACUGCUUACUAAAAGCACAGGUCCGUGCUAAGUCGAAAGACGAUGUAUACGGACUGACUCCUGCCCGGUGCUCKGAAGGUUAAGGGGACGUGUUAGCACUUUUGUGCGAGGCACUGAACUUAAGCCCCAGUAAACGGCGGUGGUAACUAUAACCAUCCUAAGGKAGCGAAAUUCCUUGUCGGGKAAGUUCCGRCCUGSACGAAUGGAGUAACGACUUGGGCGCUGUCUCCACCAUGAACUCGGCGAAAUUGCAUUACGAGUAAAGAUGCUCGUUACGCGCACAGGGACGGAAAGVNCCCGGGACCUUUACUAUAGUUUGGUAUUGGUGAUCGGUACGACUUGUGUAGGAUAGGUGGGAGACUUUGAAGCGGUCACGCUAGUGAUUGUGGAGUCAUUGUUGAAAUACCACUCUGGUCGUUCUGGUUAUCUAACCUAGGUCCGUGAUCCGGAUCAGGGACAGUGCCUGAUGGGUAGUUUGACUGGGGCGGUCGCCUCCMAAAAGGUAACGGAGGCGCCCAAAGGUUCCCUCAGCCUGGUUGGUAAUCAGGUGUUGAGUGUAAGUGCACAAGGGAGCUUGACUGUGAGACAGACAUGUCGAGCAGGGACGAAAGUCGGGACUAGUGAUCYUCUGGUGGAUUGUGGAAUCGCCAGAACUCAACGGAUAAAAGGUACCCCGGGGAUAACAGGCUGAUCUUUCCCGAGCGCUCACAGCGACGGAAUGGNUUGGCACCUCGAUGUCGGCUCGUCGCAUCCUGGGGCUGGAGUCGGUCCCAAGGGUUGGGCUGUUCGCCCAUUAAAGCGGCACGCGARGCUGGGGKUAAGAACGUCGUGAGACAGUUCCGGKCCCUAUACCGCUGCSCGUMGKAUCUUGAGAGGGCUGUCCUUAGUACGCAAGGACCGGGACGGACCAACCUCUGGUGUGCCAGUUGUUCCACCAGGAGCAUGGCUGGUUGGCUACGUUGGGGAGUGAUAACCGCUGAAAGCAUCUAAGUGGGAAGCACGCUUCAAGAUGAGGGUUCCUGCACAGUUAAUGUGGUAAGGCCCCCGGUAGACCACCGGGUGAUAGGUCGGAUGUGGAAGCAUGGUGACAUGUGGAGCUGACCGAUACUAAGUGGCCGAGGGCUUGUCCCACA
Molecule: ribosomal RNA, 3135 nt
Filed under: Propionibacterium freudenreichii
Lineage: Bacteria; Bacillati; Actinomycetota; Actinomycetes; Propionibacteriales; Propionibacteriaceae
Description: bacterial LSU rRNA
Rfam family: Bacterial large subunit ribosomal RNA
Source: RNAcentral